This 239-nucleotide unclassified non-coding RNA is filed under the name rhizosphere metagenome. RNAcentral's name for it is "partial ribosomal RNA internal transcribed spacer region". The record is from RNAcentral.
GAGUUAGGGUGUCUGGACCUCCAGCGCUCGACCUCCCAACCCUUUGUCUACUUAACCAUAACGUUGCUUCGGCAGGCCCGCGGACCCCUCUAGUUUCGGCUGGAGGCGACGCCGCCGGGGGUCUCGCGACCCCGGGCCCGCGCCUGUCGAUGGCCCAACCACAAACUCUUGUUAAAACGUGUCGUCUGAGUAAAAACAAAAAUUAAACCAAAACUUUCAACAACGGAUCUCUUGGUUCU